This 564-nucleotide long non-coding RNA is filed under the name Homo sapiens (human). Its description in RNAcentral is "non-protein coding lnc-GOLGA8M-1:2". Lineage: Eukaryota; Metazoa; Chordata; Mammalia; Primates; Hominidae. The record is from RNAcentral.
CUGCAGGCCCUGCCGAAGCUCCCCCUGGUUUCCCGCAGCGAUCCCGCGCAGGGCUGAAGCAGUGCCUACUCAAUAGAACCAGUCAUCGUGCAAAGAAAUGCCACCUGACUCAAAGGCAAAGCCAGAGUGCAGCUUGGAGCAAAGAAGUUUGUGUUGAAGGAGAAACUAACAAUGAAAAUGGACUUGUUGACGGAAGAAAAGUAGGAAUGCAGCCUCUGGUGCUGUUUGAGUGAUCCCUCUGCCCCAGGCCUGGCUGUGCGCUGCUGUGUUCUGGAAAGGCGCAUUGUGCCCUCGCUGUGGCAGUUAAAAGAAUAUUGGCAGAAAAACAGCCCUAGAGUUCCAGCAGGAGCGAACAGGAACAGGAAAACAAAUGGCAGUAUCCCUCAGACAGCCACUUCUGGUGGUUGCCAGCCACCUGGGGAUUCAGCAACAGGUUUUCACAGGGAAGGCCCUACAUCAUCUGCUACCCUGAAAGAUCUGGAGAGCCCGUGCCAAGAACGAGCAGUAGUCCUGGAUUCAAGGUCCGUAGAAAUCAGUCAACUGAAGAACACCAUCAAAUCUUUG